Molecule: ribosomal RNA, 253 nt
Filed under: uncultured bacterium
Lineage: Bacteria
Description: partial 16S ribosomal RNA
Rfam family: Bacterial small subunit ribosomal RNA
Source: RNAcentral
UACAGAGGAGCCAAGCGUUGUCCGGAUUGACUGGGCGUAAAGCGCACGCAGGCGGACGCGCGCGUGGGGUGUGAAAUCUGGCCGCUUAACGGCCAGGCGCCAUCCCAUACGGCGUGUCUGGAGUGAUGCAGAGGUCGAUGGAAUUGCCGGUGUAGUGGUGAAAUGCGUAGAGAUCGGAAAGAACCCUCGUGGCGAAGGCGACUCUCUGGCCUAAGACUGACGCUGAGGCGCGACGGCGUGGGGAGCGAACAGG